UACGUAGGGUGCGAGCGUUAAUCGGAAUUACUGGGCGUAAAGCGUGCGCAGGCGGCUUUGCAAGACAGAUGUGAAAUCCCCGGGCUCAACCUGGGAACUGCAUUUGUGACUGCAAGGCUAGAGUACGGCAGAGGGGGAUGGAAUUCCGCGUGUAGCAGUGAAAUGCGUAGAUAUUCGGAAGAACACCAGUGGCGAAGGCAAUCCCCUGGGCCUGUACUGACGCUCAUGCACGAAAGCGUGGGGAGCAAACAGG
Molecule: ribosomal RNA, 253 nt
Filed under: uncultured bacterium
Lineage: Bacteria
Description: partial 16S ribosomal RNA
Rfam family: Bacterial small subunit ribosomal RNA
Source: RNAcentral